Long non-coding RNA from Suricata suricatta (meerkat), 672 nucleotides. RefSeq lists it as uncharacterized. The transcript has 3 exons. NCBI's taxonomy places the organism in Eukaryota, Metazoa, Chordata, Mammalia, Carnivora, Herpestidae. The record is from RefSeq and is a predicted model, not a curated record.
UCCACAGACCUCCCAGCUGUCCAUCCUGGCUGGGCACAUCCAACCUCAGGCCGUUUGCCCACACUGACCCCUCCGGAAAGCUCCUCCCACCGCUGCCUCCACACGUGACUUCGGUCCAGCGGCCUUCUCCAGAUCCACCUCCUCGCCGACCCCCCGGUUCUCCUCCAUCGACUCCUUCUCGAACUUGUAACUCUGUGAUUUCCCUGCCUUGUGCCUCAUCAGAGCCGCGGUCGGAGCAGCCACGUUCCCCCGCGAACUUCCUCACGAAGACGAACCCUGGGCUGCCUAGGGUGACUUCUCAGCUCGGAAGAUUAUUUCAUUUAAAUUCUUCAGAAUCUGUAUGAUCAGCGAGUGUCCUGAGUCACCGCUGCCGUGUGCCAGGUCCGCCUCCGUCCCCAGCCCAAGACGGGGGACAGAUAUCAAAUGAGCAAACAACGCCACUGCCUUGCUGGUUUCCUAGGACUCGCCUGGUGAGUGGCACACAGCCCCAGCCCCGCGGGUGUCCCUGUGGGCUCGCCUCUCCUGGGCCCUCACGUGAGCGGAAGCGCACCAGAUGCCACCCUGCCACGGGCUUCUUGCAUUGAGCGCCACGUUUUCAAGGUUCGUCUGUGUUGUUGCCUCUAUUAGAAUUUCACUCCUUUGUAUGGCCAAAUAAUAUGCUUGAUUUAUGGA